RNAcentral lists this ribosomal RNA (434 nucleotides) under uncultured bacterium. RNAcentral's name for it is "partial 16S ribosomal RNA". It matches the Rfam family "Bacterial small subunit ribosomal RNA", at positions 29 to 507 of the family's 1533-position model. The record is from RNAcentral.
AGCGAACGCUGGCGGCAGGCCUAACACAUGCAAGUCGAACGAACCUUUCGGGGUUAGUGGCGGACGGGUGAGUAACACGUGGGAACGUGCCUUUAGGUUCGGAAUAACUCAGGGAAACUUGUGCUAAUACCGAAUGUGCCCUUCGGGGGAAAGAUUAAUCGCCUUUAGAGCGGCCCGCGUCUGAUUAGCUAGUUGGUUGAGGUAAUGGCUCACCAAGGCGACGAUCAGUAGCUGGUCUGAGAGGAUGAUCAGCCACAUUGGGACUGAGACACGGCCCAAACUCCUACGGGAGGCAGCAGUGGGGAAUCUUGCGCAGUGGGCGAAAGCCUGACGCAGCCAUGCCGCGUGAAUGAUGAAGGUCUUAGGAUUGUAAAAUUCUUUCACCGGUGACGAUAAUGACGGUACCCGGAGAAGAAGCCCCGGCUAACUUCGUG